GGGUUUGUCAGGCGACGUCAGGGGUUGGGACGGACUUUUAAUCCAUUGGUCGAGAGUUCGAAUCUCUCCGGGCCUACCA
RNAcentral lists this transfer RNA (79 nucleotides) under Chloroflexota bacterium. RNAcentral's name for it is "Chloroflexi bacterium (sediment metagenome) tRNA-Lys". It matches the Rfam family "tRNA". Rfam says of the family: Transfer RNA (tRNA) molecules are approximately 80 nucleotides in length. Their secondary structure includes four short double-helical elements and three loops (D, anti-codon, and T loops). The record is from RNAcentral. Lineage: Bacteria; Bacillati; Chloroflexota.